CAGCCGCCACGGUAAUACGUAGGUGGCAAGCGUUGUCCGGAAUUAUUGGGCGUAAAGGGCUCGCAGGCGGUUUCUUAAGUCUGAUGUGAAAGCCCCCGGCUCAACCGGGGAGGGUCAUUGGAAACUGGAAACUUGAGUGCAGAAGAGGAGAGUGGAAUUCCACGUGUAGCGGUGAAAUGCGUAGAGAUGUGGAGGAACACCAGUGGCGAAGGCGACUUUCUGGUCUGUAACUGACGCUGAGGCUCGAAAGCGUGGGGAGCAAACAGGAUUAGAUACCCCAGUAGUCCCUGUCUCUUAUACC
Molecule: ribosomal RNA, 301 nt
Filed under: uncultured bacterium
Lineage: Bacteria
Description: partial 16S ribosomal RNA
Rfam family: Bacterial small subunit ribosomal RNA
Source: RNAcentral